GGUUAAGCGACUAAGCGUACACGGUGGAUGCCCUGGCAGUCAGAGGCGAUGAAGGACGUGCUAAUCUGCGAUAAGCGUCGGUAAGGUGAUAUGAACCGUUAUAACCGGCGAUUUCCGAAUGGGGAAACCCAGUGUGUUUCGACACACUAUCAUUAACUGAAUCCAUAGGUUAAUGAGGCGAACCGGGGGAACUGAAACAUCUAAGUACCCCGAGGAAAAGAAAUCAACCGAGAUUCCCCCAGUAGCGGCGAGCGAACGGGGAGCAGCCCAGAGCCUGAAUCAGUGUGUGUGUUAGUGGAAGCGUCUGGAAAGGCGCGCGAUACAGGGUGACAGCCCCGUACACAAAAAUGCACAUACUGUGAGCUCGAUGAGUAGGGCGGGACACGUGGUAUCCUGUCUGAAUAUGGGGGGACCAUCCUCCAAGGCUAAAUACUCCUGACUGACCGAUAGUGAACCAGUACCGUGAGGGAAAGGCGAAAAGAACCCCGGCGAGGGGAGUGAAAAAGAACCUGAAACCGUGUACGUACAAGCAGUGGGAGCACGCUUAGGCGUGUGACUGCGUACCUUUUGUAUAAUGGGUCAGCGACUUAUAUUCUGUAGCAAGGUUAACCGAAUAGGGGAGCCGAAGGGAAACCGAGUCUUAACUGGGCGUUAAGUUGCAGGGUAUAGACCCGAAACCCGGUGAUCUAGCCAUGGGCAGGUUGAAGGUUGGGUAACACUAACUGGAGGACCGAACCGACUAAUGUUGAAAAAUUAGCGGAUGACUUGUGGCUGGGGGUGAAAGGCCAAUCAAACCGGGAGAUAGCUGGUUCUCCCCGAAAGCUAUUUAGGUAGCGCCUCGUGAAUUCAUCUCCGGGGGUAGAGCACUGUUUCGGCAAGGGGGUCAUCCCGACUUACCAACCCGAUGCAAACUGCGAAUACCGGAGAAUGUUAUCACGGGAGACACACGGCGGGUGCUAACGUCCGUCGUGAAGAGGGAAACAACCCAGACCGCCAGCUAAGGUCCCAAAGUCAUGGUUAAGUGGGAAACGAUGUGGGAAGGCCCAGACAGCCAGGAUGUUGGCUUAGAAGCAGCCAUCAUUUAAAGAAAGCGUAAUAGCUCACUGGUCGAGUCGGCCUGCGCGGAAGAUGUAACGGGGCUAAACCAUGCACCGAAGCUGCGGCAGCGACACUAUGUGUUGUUGGGUAGGGGAGCGUUCUGUAAGCCUGUGAAGGUGUACUGUGAGGUAUGCUGGAGGUAUCAGAAGUGCGAAUGCUGACAUAAGUAACGAUAAAGCGGGUGAAAAGCCCGCUCGCCGGAAGACCAAGGGUUCCUGUCCAACGUUAAUCGGGGCAGGGUGAGUCGACCCCUAAGGCGAGGCCGAAAGGCGUAGUCGAUGGGAAACAGGUUAAUAUUCCUGUACUUGGUGUUACUGCGAAGGGGGGACGGAGAAGGCUAUGUUGGCCGGGCGACGGUUGUCCCGGUUUAAGCGUGUAGGCUGGUUUUCCAGGCAAAUCCGGAAAAUCAAGGCUGAGGCGUGAUGACGAGGCACUACGGUGCUGAAGCAACAAAUGCCCUGCUUCCAGGAAAAGCCUCUAAGCAUCAGGUAACAUCAAAUCGUACCCCAAACCGACACAGGUGGUCAGGUAGAGAAUACCAAGGCGCUUGAGAGAACUCGGGUGAAGGAACUAGGCAAAAUGGUGCCGUAACUUCGGGAGAAGGCACGCUGAUAUGUAGGUGAAGUCCCUCGCGGAUGGAGCUGAAAUCAGUCGAAGAUACCAGCUGGCUGCAACUGUUUAUUAAAAACACAGCACUGUGCAAACACGAAAGUGGACGUAUACGGUGUGACGCCUGCCCGGUGCCGGAAGGUUAAUUGAUGGGGUUAGCGCAAGCGAAGCUCUUGAUCGAAGCCCCGGUAAACGGCGGCCGUAACUAUAACGGUCCUAAGGUAGCGAAAUUCCUUGUCGGGUAAGUUCCGACCUGCACGAAUGGCGUAAUGAUGGCCAGGCUGUCUCCACCCGAGACUCAGUGAAAUUGAACUCGCUGUGAAGAUGCAGUGUACCCGCGGCAAGACGGAAAGACCCCGUGAACCUUUACUAUAGCUUGACACUGAACAUUGAGCCUUGAUGUGUAGGAUAGGUGGGAGGCUUUGAAGUGUGGACGCCAGUCUGCAUGGAGCCGACCUUGAAAUACCACCCUUUAAUGUUUGAUGUUCUAACGUUGACCCGUGAUCCGGGUUGCGGACAGUGUCUGGUGGGUAGUUUGACUGGGGCGGUCUCCUCCUAAAGAGUAACGGAGGAGCACGAAGGUUGGCUAAUCCUGGUCGGACAUCAGGAGGUUAGUGCAAUGGCAUAAGCCAGCUUGACUGCGAGCGUGACGGCGCGAGCAGGUGCGAAAGCAGGUCAUAGUGAUCCGGUGGUUCUGAAUGGAAGGGCCAUCGCUCAACGGAUAAAAGGUACUCCGGGGAUAACAGGCUGAUACCGCCCAAGAGUUCAUAUCGACGGCGGUGUUUGGCACCUCGAUGUCGGCUCAUCACAUCCUGGGGCUGAAGUAGGUCCCAAGGGUAUGGCUGUUCGCCAUUUAAAGUGGUACGCGAGCUGGGUUUAGAACGUCGUGAGACAGUUCGGUCCCUAUCUGCCGUGGGCGCUGGAGAACUGAGGGGGGCUGCUCCUAGUACGAGAGGACCGGAGUGGACGCAUCACUGGUGUUCGGGUUGUCAUGCCAAUGGCACUGCCCGGUAGCUAAAUGCGGAAGAGAUAAGUGCUGAAAGCAUCUAAGCACGAAACUUGCCCCGAGAUGAGUUCUCCCUGACUCCUUGAGAGUCCUGAAGGAACGUUGAAGACGAC
Molecule: ribosomal RNA, 2826 nt
Filed under: Escherichia coli
Lineage: Bacteria; Pseudomonadati; Pseudomonadota; Gammaproteobacteria; Enterobacterales; Enterobacteriaceae
Description: partial 23S ribosomal RNA
Rfam family: Bacterial large subunit ribosomal RNA
Source: RNAcentral